This is a non-coding RNA of Caenorhabditis elegans, 21 nucleotides long. NCBI's taxonomy places the organism in Eukaryota, Metazoa, Nematoda, Chromadorea, Rhabditida, Rhabditidae. The record is from Ensembl.
UGUUUUGAUUAUUUUAUCAAG